UAUAAAAUUUUUUAUAGUUUAAAAAUUUAUUAUAAGUUUAUUUUACAUAUAAAUUUUAGUGUUAAUUUUUAAUUUAUUUAAAUAAUAAUUAAUUAUUUGUUUGUAGUAAUUAAAAUUAAAAAUUUAAGAAAUUAAGAUUUAGUAAUAUUUAAAUUAAUAACUAAUUUUGUGCCAGCAGUUGCGGUUAUACAAAAAUUAAAUUAAAUUUUUUUAGGAAUUAAUAAAUAAUUUAUUAUUAAUACAUAUAUAAAAUUAAAAUUUAGAUUAUUAAGUGAAAUUUUAAUUAAAAAAAAUUUUUAUAUAAAAUUAUGAUUUAAAAAAUUUUAUUAAAAACUAGGAUUAGAUACCCUGUUAUUAAAAAUUUAAAUUAAUAAUACUAAAAUAGUAUAUAAUUAUUUAUAAAAACUUAAAUAAUUUGGCGGUAUUUUAGUUUAUUUAGAGGAAUCUGUUUAUUAAUUGAUAUUCCACGAAUAAAUUUACUUGAUUUAUUUAUUUUGUAUAUCGUUGUUAUAAAAAUAUUUUUAAAUAAUAUAAUAAUAUUUUAAUUUUUUAAUUUAAAGUUAAAUCAGAUCAAGAUGCAGAUUAUAAUUAAGAAUAUAAUGGAUUACAAUAAAUUUAUUUAAUUGGAUAUUAUUUUUAAAAAUUAAUUGAAAUUGGAUUUAAAUGUAAUUUUAUUUAAUUUAUUAAAAUGAUCUUAAUUUAAAAUAUGUACAUAUUGCCCGUCGCUUUCAUUUAUAAAUUGAAAUAAGUCGUAACAAAGUAGAGGUACUGGAAAGUGUUUCUAGAAAGAA
This 791-nucleotide non-coding RNA is filed under the name Bombyx lemeepauli. Lineage: Eukaryota; Metazoa; Arthropoda; Insecta; Lepidoptera; Bombycidae. The record is from RNAcentral.